CUAACCGACAAAACCCUAUUAAGCCUUGAUGGCUUAAUACCCAAGGGUUUAUUUCUCAUUUAUGUGAAGUCCAGUAGGGGUCCGGCUGCCCUCUUCUCUCUGAAAGAGCCAUCUGGAACACAGGGCCCCCAAGGUCUUUGCUGUGGGGGAAAAAUAAGGUGGAGGAAGUGCCUGGCUCAUAGUCCCUUGGCCAGAAUCAGUCACAUGACCCCAACCUAACUUCAGGGGAGGCUGGGAAGUACAGGUUGGAAAACAUGAAAUACCUGGUAAGCACUGAUCCUCUCUGCCAUAUUGACUAGCAUGAUUCCAUGAUUUUCUGUGUUUUCCAGCAACUCACCGAUGAAGAUGUUGAACAGGUUAAAGCCAGGCAGGAGGACUGUCAGCGAACAACAGCACCUUAGUCCUCAAGGAAGUUAUUCUUCACAGGGCUGUGGGCAAGAAGAAUGCUUUUGCAGACAACCAGAGUCAUUCCUAGAAGCAAGGACUAUGACAGCAAGCUAAGAUAGUUCUCGUUUGCUGGUUGUAGUGGAUACACUAAUUUCAUUCCUUUGUCGAGGUAGAGUCCAAGUCCCAGCUGGAGGAUGCAUUUUGUUAUCCUGUUGCUCAAUUCCUAAUGGACAUAAGAAAGGUUAUUUCCUGAGUAUAGAAUACCAGAAGAGGAAUUUAUAAGUGAAG
This 675-nucleotide long non-coding RNA is filed under the name Homo sapiens (human). RNAcentral's name for it is "PREDICTED lncRNA (TCONS_00041434)". Lineage: Eukaryota; Metazoa; Chordata; Mammalia; Primates; Hominidae. The record is from RNAcentral.